UACGGAGGGGGCGAGCGUUAUUCGGAAUUACUGGGCGUAAAGGGCACGUAGGCGGCAUUUUAAGUCAGAUGUGAAAUCCCCGGGCUCAACCCGGGAAGUGCAUUUGAGACUGGAUCGCUUGAGUACUGGAGGGGGGAGUGGAAUUCCGAGUGUAGCGGUGAAAUGCGUAGAUAUUCGGAGGAACACCAGUGGCGAAGGCGGCUCCCUGGAUAGUUACUGACGCUGAGGUACGAAAGCGUGGGGAGCAAACAGG
Molecule: ribosomal RNA, 253 nt
Filed under: uncultured bacterium
Lineage: Bacteria
Description: partial 16S ribosomal RNA
Rfam family: Bacterial small subunit ribosomal RNA
Source: RNAcentral